Molecule: long non-coding RNA, 690 nt
Filed under: Callithrix jacchus (white-tufted-ear marmoset)
Lineage: Eukaryota; Metazoa; Chordata; Mammalia; Primates; Cebidae
Description: lncRNA (ENSCJAG00000065267.2)
Source: RNAcentral
AGGUCUUAGCCAUGAACUCCGGCAGCUGUGAUGUAAUGGGCAGAUCUGGGCUCAGUGUCACUGAAGGGAUUCUGACCCUGCCUUUUACUUGGCAAUCGGGGCAACUUAGUUAACUCUGUAGACUCUCAGUUUCCUCAUCUAUAAAAGGGGUGAUAUGGUCUGGCUCUGUGUCCCCACCCAAAUCUCAUCUUGAAUUGUAAUCUGAAUUGUAAUUGCCACAUGUUGGGGGAGGGACCUGGUGGGAGGUGAUUACAUUAUGGGGGUGGUCUCCCCAGGCUCUUCUUGUGAAACUGAGUUCUCUUGAGAUCUGAUGGUUUUGUAAGGGGCUUCCCCCUUUGCUCCGCACUCAUUCUCUCUCCUGCUGCCCUGUGAAGAGGUGCCUUCUGCCAUGACUUUAAGUUUCCUGAGGCCUCCCCAGCCAUGCAGAACUGCCUGUCAAGCACAGAGACUACCAAGAUGGAGAGGUUGCAGCCCUGGUCCUCAAGAACUUGCCUGCACAUGGAAAAAUAGAAGCUGAGAGGCAGCUGAAAGGCCAUAUAAGGGCAUAGUAAGAAGGCGGCUGUCUACAAGCCAGGAGGAGAGGCCUCACUGAGAAUCAGCCCUGAAGAAACCACAACCUUGGACUUCUGGCCUCCAGAACUGUGAGAAUAAAUGCCUGUUGUUUAAGCCACCGAGUCUGUGGUAUUUUUU